AGAAUUGAUCUGGUCAGGACGAACGCUGGCGGCGUGCUUAACACAUGCAAGUCGAACGAGGGUAUGGAGAGCUUGCUCGAAGGUAACCCGAGUGGCGGACGGGUGAGUAACGCGUGAGCAACCUGUCUCACACAGGGGGAUAACGCAUCGAAAGAUGUGCUAAUACCGCAUGAGACCACGGAAGGACAUCCUUCAAAGGGGGUCAAAGGAGGAAUCCGGUGUGAGGUGGGCUCGCGUCUGAUUAGAUAGUUGGUGAGGUAACGGCUCACCAAGUCAACGAUCAGUAGCCGACCUGAGAGGGUGAUCGGCCACAUUGGGACUGAGACACGGCCCAGACUCCUACGGGAGGCAGCAGUGGGGAAUAUUGGGCAAUGGGCGCAAGCCCUGACCCAGCAACGCCGCGUGAGGGAAGAAGGUUUUCGGAUUGUAAACCUCUGUCCUGUAUGAAGAGAAGGAGACGGUAGUACAGGAGGAAGCCCCGGCUAACUACGUGCCAGCCGCAGC
RNAcentral lists this ribosomal RNA (504 nucleotides) under uncultured bacterium. Its description in RNAcentral is "bacterial SSU rRNA". It matches the Rfam family "Bacterial small subunit ribosomal RNA", at positions 1 to 518 of the family's 1533-position model. The record is from RNAcentral.